RNAcentral lists this ribosomal RNA (254 nucleotides) under uncultured bacterium. RNAcentral describes it as "partial 16S ribosomal RNA". It matches the Rfam family "Bacterial small subunit ribosomal RNA", at positions 524 to 776 of the family's 1533-position model. The record is from RNAcentral.
UACGUAGGGGGCAAGCGUUGUCCGGAUUUAUUGGGCGUAAAGAGCUCGUAGGCGGUGUGUCGCGUCGGCCGUGAAAACCUGCAGCUUAACUGUGGGCUUGCGGUCGAUACGGGCAUCACUGGAGUUCGGCAGGGGAGACUGGAAUUCCUGGUGUAGCGGUGAAAUGCGCAGAUAUCAGGAGGAACACCGGUGGCGAAGGCGGGUCUCUGGGCCGAAAUUGACGCUGAGGAGCGAAAGCGUGGGGAGCAAACAGG